AUGGGCGGUCAGGGGCAGCAGAAUUUCCCCAAAGGGCAACCAAACCCUGCAGGCCAACAGAAGCAGCAACAGCAGAGAGGUCCGAGCAAGCAUGCGGCGAAAAGGUCUGCGAAAACCCUGCUCGACGUUGCGGCAGAUCUGAAAGCUUACUUAGCUGAUAUCUGCCUCAACUGUGGAGAUCCUGGUCACCCAGCCGUGGACUGUGCUAAGCCCAAAUCCUGCCAAAUCUGCAAGAUGAUCUCCCAUACGGCUGAUGUGUGCCCAGUGAGGAAGCAACCGCACCCGACAGCAAGAUACAUUGGAAGCGCAGCCCCUGGACUUGGCUUCUACCAUGUGGAGCUGAUUGAUGUCAAUGCUCAGAGGAUUGGGACUCUGCAAAACAUUGGAAUCGUCUAUGUGGAGGAGGGCAGCAUUACUAAAGAGGAAUUAGCUGCAGAAUUCACCAUCAUCUACAAAACUAGCUGGCCGUGGCAGAUCAGGUCAUUAGAUGAAUGGUCCUUCCUAGUUAAGUUUCCUCCUGAGAUUCCUGUUACUCAGGUAGCAUGA
RNAcentral lists this ribosomal RNA (546 nucleotides) under Triticum aestivum (bread wheat). RNAcentral's name for it is "partial small subunit ribosomal RNA". The record is from RNAcentral. Lineage: Eukaryota; Viridiplantae; Streptophyta; Magnoliopsida; Poales; Poaceae.